GCCCGCUUAGCUCAGUGGUCGAGCGUUAGCUUUGGAAGAUAAAGGUCGGUGGUUCAAUUUCACUCGGGCGCA
Molecule: transfer RNA, 72 nt
Filed under: Phytophthora infestans T30-4
Lineage: Eukaryota; Oomycota; Peronosporomycetes; Peronosporales; Peronosporaceae
Description: tRNA-Pro
Rfam family: tRNA
About the family: Transfer RNA (tRNA) molecules are approximately 80 nucleotides in length. Their secondary structure includes four short double-helical elements and three loops (D, anti-codon, and T loops).
Source: RNAcentral